GCUGCAGGUGUGGCACCAGAGACCGAUCACAGUCAUUGUGUGGGUGUGGCACCAUCACCUGUAGUUGGCCACUGCUGCAGGUGUGGCACCGUCACCUGUAGUUGGCCAUUGCUGCAGGUGUGGCACCGUCACCUGUAGUUGGCCACUGCUGCAGGUGUGGCACCAUCACCUGUAGUUGGCCACUGCUGCAGGUGUGGCACCAUCACCUGUAGUUGGCCACUGCUGCAGGUGUGGCACCGUCACCUGUAGUUGGCCACUGCUGCAGGUGUGGCACCAUCACCUGUAGUUGGCCACUGCUGCAGGUGUGGCACCAUCACCUGUAGUUGGCCACUGCUGCAGGUGUGGCACCAUCACCUGUAGUUGGCCACUGCUGCAGGUGUGGC
Long non-coding RNA from Haliotis rubra (blacklip abalone), 383 nucleotides. RefSeq lists it as uncharacterized. The transcript has 3 exons. NCBI's taxonomy places the organism in Eukaryota, Metazoa, Mollusca, Gastropoda, Lepetellida, Haliotidae. The record is from RefSeq and is a predicted model, not a curated record.